CGGUACACAUACGAUACUGGUGCCCAGCUCUAGCUUGAGGCCCGUGUCUAAAUUGUCAACGUCAACUUCACAUUUUAUUUAUUUAUUUUUGUUUUGUGUAGUGUUUGGAAAACUAGGAAAAAUAUAUUUUUCUGCUUUUCAAUCAAAAUCAAAUCUUUAAAACUGGAGGACGUUUAUCAACAACCCAUACUUAAUACAAAAGCCAUAUUUUAGCGAGUAAGCGAUUUUAAGCGGCUUUAAGCGUCUUUAAGACAUCUCAUUCGAGCGAUCAAGUCAUGACGUCACCGUAUAAGGCGCUUUAAGCGUUUGUUAGCGGUCUCUUGAGAUCGCUAAUAAACUGGAUAUGUCAAAGUCAAAGGGAAGCUAUACAAACAAUAAUAAACAAUAAAUAUUUAUAUCAUUUUUUUGAUAUUUUUUUAGA
Molecule: long non-coding RNA, 421 nt
Organism: Anthonomus grandis grandis
Lineage: Eukaryota; Metazoa; Arthropoda; Insecta; Coleoptera; Curculionidae
Exons: 2
Source: RefSeq, a predicted model, not a curated record